GGGGAUAUAGCUCAGUGGUAGUGCAUUCAACUGCAGAUCGAGAGGUCCCUGGUUCGAACCCGGGUGUCCCCU
RNAcentral lists this transfer RNA (72 nucleotides) under Saccoglossus kowalevskii. Its description in RNAcentral is "tRNA-Cys". It matches the Rfam family "tRNA". From Rfam's summary of the family: Transfer RNA (tRNA) molecules are approximately 80 nucleotides in length. Lineage: Eukaryota; Metazoa; Hemichordata; Enteropneusta; Harrimaniidae. The record is from RNAcentral.